Molecule: ribosomal RNA, 1455 nt
Filed under: uncultured bacterium
Lineage: Bacteria
Description: bacterial SSU rRNA
Rfam family: Bacterial small subunit ribosomal RNA
Source: RNAcentral
GACGAACGCUGGCGGCAGGCUUACACAUGCAAGUCGCACGAGAACGUUCUGGCUUUGCCAGAACAAGUACAGUGGCGAACGGGUGCGUAACGCGUAGAUAACCUGCCUUCAGGCGCGGGACAACCUCGGGAAACCGUGGCUAAUACCGCACGACGUCUGGCUCCUGCAUAGGAGCCAGACGAAAGCCUUCCGGUGCCUGAACAUGGGUCUGCUUCGGAUUAUCUCGUCGGUGGGGCCACCGGCUCUACCCAGUCAUGAUCCGUCUCAGGUAGAGAAUCGACCACACUGCAACUUGGACACGACCCCCACUCCUACGCCACACAGCGCUGGCCAAUCGCGCACUCUGGCGCCACCCCUUCCCCCCCCAUGCCACCUGGACGCACACACCCCUGUGUCGCGCACACUCCUUUUCUGCACCCAAAAACCCCUCUUGCUCCUGCCGUGACGGUCCCACAUGAAUACGCACCGGCUCACUCCGUGGCCAGCACCCGCUGUAAUACGGACGCUCCGCGCUUUCUCCCAAAUCACUGGCCGCACACGGUCGUCAAGUGAGCCACCUAGUCCCACCCCUAAACCCGUCCCUUAACCACGGACGUGCCUUUGAAACUGCUGCUCUUGAGUCCCGGAGAGGUUGCCGGAAUUCGUGGUGUAGCGGUGAAAUGCGUAGAUAUCACGAGGAACACCAGAUGCGAAAGCGGGCAACUGGACGGGUACUGACACUGAGGCACGAAAGCGUGGGGAGCAAACAGGAUUAGAUACCCUGGUAGUCCGCGCCGUAAACGAUGGAUGCUCGCCGUUGUCUCGUUAGGGGACAGUGGCUAAGUUAACGCGUUAAGCAUCCCGCCUGGGGAGUACGAUCGCAAGGUUGAAACUCAAAGGAAUUGACGGGGGCCCGCACAAGCGGUGGAGCAUGUGGCUUAAUUCGAUGCAACGCGAAGAACCUUACCUAGGCUCGAACGCUAGGUGCCCGCCCCUGAAAAGGGGCUUUCCGCAAGGACGCCUAGCGAGGUACUGCAUGGCUGUCGUCAGCUCGUGUCGUGAGAUGUUGGGUUAAGUCCCGCAACGAGCGUAACCCUUGUCGCUAGUUACCAUCGGGUAAUGCCGGGGACUCUAGUGAGACUGCCUGCGCAAGCAGUGAGGAAGGUGGGGAUGACGUCAAGUCAUCAUGGUCCUUACGCCUAGGGCUGCACACGUGCUACAAUGGCCGGUACAACGGGUAGCCACCCCGCGAGGGGAAGCGGAUCCCUGAAAGCCGGUCCCAGUUCGGAUUGGAGUCUGCAACUCGACUCCAUGAAGCAGGAAUCGCUAGUAAUCGCGGAUCAGCAAUGCCGCGGUGAAUUCGUUCCCGGGCCUUGUACACACCGCCCGUCAAGCCAUGGAAGCUGAGAGCACCCGAAGUCCGUGACCCAACCUUUUGGGAGGGAGCGGCCGAAGGUGAGCUCAGUGACUGGGGCU